AAGGAUCAUUACUGAUUUGCUUAAUUGCACCACAUGUGUUUUUUAUUGAACAAAUUUCUUUGGUGGCGGGAGCAAUCCUACCGCCAGAGGUUAUAACUAAACCAAACUUUUUAUUUACAGUCAAACUUGAUUUAUUAUUACAAUAGUCAAAACUUUCAACAACGGAUCUCUUGGUUCUCGCAUCGAUGAAGAACGCAGCGAAAUGCGAUACGUAAUAUGAAUUGCAGAUAUUCGUGAAUCAUCGAAUCUUUGAACGCACAUUGCGCCCUUUGGUAUUCCAAAGGGCAUGCCUGUUUGAGCGUCAUUUCUCCCUCAAACCCCCGGGUUUGGUGUUGAGCAAUACGCUAGGUUUGUUUGAAAGAAUUUAACGUGGAAACUUAUUUUAAGCGACUUAGGUUUAUCCAAAACGCUUAUUUUGCUAGUGGCCACCACAAUUUAUUUCAUAACUUUGACCUCAAAUCAGGUAGGACUACCCGCUGAACUUAA
RNAcentral lists this ribosomal RNA (486 nucleotides) under Candida tropicalis. Its description in RNAcentral is "eukaryotic LSU rRNA". The stretch from base 151 to 304 matches the Rfam family "5.8S ribosomal RNA". The record is from RNAcentral. Lineage: Eukaryota; Fungi; Ascomycota; Pichiomycetes; Serinales; Debaryomycetaceae.